GGCCCCUUCCCCGCCCCCCGCCCAAGCCCUGGCCCCCGCCUCCCCUUCAGGCGGACUUGCCCGCUCCCAGGCCGGCCCCGCUCCGGGGACAGGGACCGGGCCGAGCGGAGCCACUACGCCAGUGCUGCCCCGCCAGUCGGGGCGCCUAACGGAUCGGAGCUGCGCGCGGAUUUACCUCGCCCCGCCCCGUUCCACCCGCGAGGGUGGCCCGAGGCAGCCGGGAUGACACUUCUCCCCAGGAACCCUUCUAUCUGCUGAGAAACAUGACCAGCAAAUCUCGUGAGUGUUGUCCAGGGGGGCCCCCCAUGCUGGAGGAGGAUCCAUCAGUCAUCCUCAGCAGCAACCUGAGACCUCCACAGGGGUGGUAGAGGGUCACACUUGGAGCCAAGGACAGCAGAAAUACUUGGGUUCUAGCCCCUAGCUAGGUACAGGACAGGGCUAGGGACUGGGUCUGGUGUGCUGGGGGUGGAGGGGCCCAGGAUUGGCAGAAGAGAAGGCAGCCUGGGACUGUCCCUGCUUGUCUUUGCCGUCAGCUCCUUUGUGCGUGUUUUUUGCAGACUGGAAGCUCCUGGCCUUGGCUCUGGUCCUUGUUGUUGUCAUGGUGUGGUAUUCCAUCUCCCGAGAAGACAGGUACAUUGAGUUCUUUUAUUUUCCCGUCUCCGAGAAGAAAGAGCCAUGCUUCCAGGGUGAGGCAGAGAGGCAGGCCUCUAAAAUUUUCGGCAAGUAAGUACCUGAUGAUGGGACAGGGCACGGGGUGCUCAGGACUGAGGGGUAUUGCCUCAUCACUA
Molecule: long non-coding RNA, 788 nt
Filed under: Rattus norvegicus (Norway rat)
Lineage: Eukaryota; Metazoa; Chordata; Mammalia; Rodentia; Muridae
Description: long non-coding RNA NONRATT028394
Source: RNAcentral